UGAAGAAUCUGCCUUGGAACAGCUGCUUUCCAAUAGAUUGUUAUUACCUGAAAGAGUUAUUAUAAUUUUUGCCGUUUCACAGAUGUAACAAAAAGUCUUAAUGAUGCUAAAAACCACAUCCAAGAUUAUACAGUUAACAAGUGAUAAAACUAAGACCACUGAGACAGAUACCAAGAUAAGCCUCAAGCCAUUCACAUUUCUGUAGGUAUUGCAGAUAAAUUUUUUUUGCUAUAUUAAAUUGUAAAUAUAUUGUAUUUCAGGACAAUUUCUUAUUCUUGUCUAUGUCUAUUCUAUUCUUGAUUUUACUUUUAGCUGAUCGCAAUCCAGGGAGGCAAAUCAUUAUGAGAAUUUUAAUUGUGUAGACUGGGGUGCUACUAAUUUAUUCCUGUCUAGAGAGGAUUCAGGAGAUUUUUCUUUAACACAGUGUGGAUCAUAAAAUGGAAUAAACUGUAUAUUAUAUAUGUAUAUAUGUUAUCUAUGAGAUGUAUAUCAGUAAUAUAGGUGUGUGAUCUAUAUCAGGUAUAGGCAUAGAUGUAGGUAUUUGUGUGUGCACCCAGUAUAUAUAUAUACCCAGUGUGUGUAUAUAUAUAUACACACACACACAUAUUAAUCAUGUUAAUAUUUAAGUCUCAGUCACUUAAAUAAGCAGUAAGACAAAUCACAUCACUCCCUUGAUAAAAACCCUCCAAUAGUUUCCCAUCACAGUUACAAGAAAUCCAAAGCAUUUAACAUGGGCUAAAAGUCCUACAUGAUCUGGCCCCUGAAUGCCACUACAAAUGCAUCUCCUAUUUUCCGUCCCCUAAAUCUCCAGCCAUACUGCUGUCCCUCAUGCUGCGGCUUUAACAUGCCCAGUGCGCUUCUGCCUUAGGGGCUUUUCCACUUGCUGUUCUCUCUGCCUUGGGACCUGUACCCAAUUUUCAACAUGGUUCACUCUCACAAUUCAUUUUGUCUUUACAUUUAUUGAGUAUGUGCACCAGGUACUCUUCUAAACACUUUAAAUGAAUUAUGUUAUGAAAGCAAGUUAUCUGUUUGGUGACAUGGGUUAGGAAGAGUGGCAUGGUUUAAGAACACAAGUGCAAAGUAAAAACAUCGUUUAAUGCUAUCACAAUAUCAAAGCAACUAAUGAACAGAACUGGAAAAUAAAUUUAGAUGUGUUAUUUUGUUAGCUUCCCAUUUCCUCGUACACACACAUUGCUCAAACAGUGUUGUUCGGAAUAAUGUGUACUGACUCUUACAGUAGAUUGAAAAAGACACAACAAGGUCAGACAUUUUCAAAGGGAAAGGAAGUUCUGGGGAAGAGAAGUCAAUUAUAUAAACCAUUGGUGAUUAUUAUUUAGAGGUAAAUAAAUGUCAGUCCCAUGAUAUACCUCUGGGAAAAGGAUGCUGCAAUAUGAAAUAAUACAUUUGCUGGCUGUGAUAUCAUGAGCUCAGAUAAAACAAAUGCCUACGUAUAGCUCCUAAUGUACAGCACAAUGAGCCAUAAAACAGUCAAAUAAGGGAUUUUACUUUGAAAACAAAGUCACCAUUAAUUUGGAAGGCCAUAUGUGUAUCCAGGAUGGGAUCUUGAACUGUAAUAAAACGUUCUAUUUUUUGACAUCACCUUCCAUUCAAUGUUCCCAACUUCUAUGGCCAUAUCCAGGAAUCUUGGGGAAAGUAGAGUCCUUAGGGGAUCCUUGGAAUUAAAAACUCACCUUAAAGCCAGUUCCCCCUGUUUUGUGGAUCUUACUUUUAGCUGAUUGCAAUCCAGGGAGACAAAUCAUUAUGAUAAUUUUAAUUGCGUAUACUGGGGUGAUACUAAUUUAUUCCCAUCUAGAUAGGGUUCUGGAGAUUUUUCCCUAAUGAGCUAUGCACAAGCUUUUUAACCAGACAAAUGGGGGUUUGAAUCCUGUCUAGGCAGUGUUAUUAUCAGAAAGUCGUC
RNAcentral lists this long non-coding RNA (1918 nucleotides) under Homo sapiens (human). RNAcentral describes it as "HSALNT0070598". The record is from RNAcentral. Lineage: Eukaryota; Metazoa; Chordata; Mammalia; Primates; Hominidae.